UACGUAGGGUGCGAGCGUUGUCCGGAUUCAUUGGGCGUAAAGAGCGCGCAGGCGGCUUGGUAAGUCGGAUGUGAAAACCCGAGGCUCAACCUCGGACGUGCAUCCGAAACUGCCCGGCUAGAGGUAGGUAGGGGAGAUCGGAAUUCCUGGUGUAGCGGUGAAAUGCGCAGAUAUCAGGAGGAACACCGGUGGCGAAGGCGGAUCUCUGGGCCUUACCUGACGCUCAGGCGCGAAAGCUAGGGGAGCGAACUGG
This 253-nucleotide ribosomal RNA is filed under the name uncultured bacterium. RNAcentral describes it as "partial 16S ribosomal RNA". It matches the Rfam family "Bacterial small subunit ribosomal RNA", at positions 524 to 776 of the family's 1533-position model. The record is from RNAcentral.